RNAcentral lists this ribosomal RNA (328 nucleotides) under uncultured eukaryote. Its description in RNAcentral is "partial 18S ribosomal RNA". It matches the Rfam family "Eukaryotic small subunit ribosomal RNA", at positions 1470 to 1796 of the family's 1831-position model. The record is from RNAcentral.
CCCUUAGAUGUCCUGGGCCGCACGCGCGUUACACUGAUGCAUUCAACGAGCUUAUAACCUUGGCCGAGAGGCCUGGGCAAUCUUGUUAACGUGCAUCGUGAUAGGGAUAGAUUAUUGAAAUUAUUAAUCUUGAACGAGGAAUCCCUAGUAAACGCAGAUCAUCAAUCUGCAUUGAUUACGUCCCUGCCCUUUGUACACACCGCCCGUCGCACCUACCGAUUGGAUGGUCCGGUGAAGCCUCGGGAUUGUGGUUCUUGCCGCUUUGUUGUGGCGUGACCGCGAGAACUUGUCUAAACCUUAUCAUCUAGAGGAAGGUGAAGUCGUAACA